UCUUCCCUGGCCUUGCCCUCUCUCUUUCUGCCCUGUAGCCGCGGGCGUCCAAAUGAAGCUGGAAUUCCUCCAGCGCAAAUUCUGGGCGGCAACGCGGCAGGAUCUGGACUGCUUCGUCAUCGACAACAACGGGUUCAUUCUGAUCUCCAAGAGGUCCCGAGAGAGUGACUAUGUAUGACUAUCAGGCCAUGUGCAAACCCUCGAGUCACCACCACAGUGCAGCCCAGCCCCUGGUCAGCCCAAUUUCUGCCUUCUUGACGGCGACCAGGUGGCUGCUGCAGGAGCUGGUGCUGUGAGUGGGGGUAGACACGGGGCUGGUGGAGGGCUGCAUGCGAGGGUGGCUUAGGAGGGUGUCCUUGAGCAGGAGGCUGCAAGGUCUCCAGGACAACCCACUUGCUACCAGACCCCGGGGAAGGAGGGCACAAUCCCUGGGCAUGGACGCCACCUCUUCCCUGCAUGCUGCCCCUGGGAGGGACCUCAUUGCUCAACCAGAGCCCU
Molecule: long non-coding RNA, 498 nt
Filed under: Homo sapiens (human)
Lineage: Eukaryota; Metazoa; Chordata; Mammalia; Primates; Hominidae
Description: non-protein coding lnc-DCP1B-4:1
Source: RNAcentral